Molecule: ribosomal RNA, 1376 nt
Filed under: uncultured bacterium
Lineage: Bacteria
Description: 16S ribosomal RNA
Rfam family: Bacterial small subunit ribosomal RNA
Source: RNAcentral
UGAACGCUGGCGGCAGGCCUAACACAUGCAAGUCGAACGGCAGCACAGAAGAGCUUGCUCUUUGGGUGGCGAGUGGCGGACGGGUGAGUAAUGUCUGGGAAACUGCCCGAUGGAGGGGGAUAACUACUGGAAACGGUAGCUAAUACCGCAUAACGUCGCGAGACCAAAGUGGGGGACCUUCGGGCCUCACACCAUCGGAUGUGCCCAGAUGGGAUUAGCUAGUAGGUGGGGUAAUGGCUCACCUAGGCGACGAUCCCUAGCUGGUCUGAGAGGAUGACCAGCCACACUGGAACUGAGACACGGUCCAGACUCCUACGGGAGGCAGCAGUGGGGAAUAUUGCACAAUGGGCGCAAGCCUGAUGCAGCCAUGCCGCGUGUAUGAAGAAGGCCUUCGGGUUGUAAAGUACUUUCAGCGGGGAGGAAGGCGGUGAGGUUAAUAACCUUGCCGAUUGACGUUACCCGCAGAAGAAGCACCGGCUAACUCCGUGCCAGCAGCCGCGGUAAUGCGGAGGGUGCAAGCGUUAAUCGGAAUUACUGGGCGUAAAGCGCACGCAGGCGGUCUGUUAAGUCAGAUGUGAAAUCCCCGGGCUUAACCUGGGAACUGCAUUUGAAACUGGCAGGCUUGAGUCUCGUAGAGGGGGGUAGAAUUUCCAGGUGUAGCGGUGAAAUGCGUAGAGAUCUGGAGGAAUACCGGUGGCGAAAGGCGGCCCCCUGGACGAAGACUGACGCUCAGGUGCGAAAGCGUGGGGAGCAAACAGGAUUAGAUACCCUGGUAGUCCACGCCGUAAACGAUGUCGACUUGGAGGUUGUGCCCUUGAGGCGUGGCUUCCGGAGCUAACGCGUUAAGUCGACCGCCUGGGGAGUACGGCCGCAAGGUUAAAACUCAAAUGAAUUGACGGGGGCCCGCACAAGCGGUGGAGCAUGUGGUUUAAUUCGAUGCAACGCGAAGAACCUUACCUGGCCUUGACAUCCAGAGAACUUAGCAGAGAUGCUUUGGUGCCUUCGGGAACUCUGAGACAGGUGCUGCAUGGCUGUCGUCAGCUCGUGUUGUGAAAUGUUGGGUUAAGUCCCGCAACGAGCGCAACCCUUAUCCUUUGUUGCCAGCGGUUCGGCCGGGAACUCAAAGGAGACUGCCGGUGAUAAACCGGAGGAAGGUGGGGAUGACGUCAAGUCAUCAUGGCCCUUACGGCCAGGGCUACACACGUGCUACAAUGGCGCAUACAAAGAGAAGCGACCUCGCGAGAGCAAGCGGACCUCAUAAAGUGCGUCGUAGUCCGGAUUGGAGUCUGCAACUCGACUCCAUGAAGUCGGAAUCGCUAGUAAUCGUAGAUCAGAAUGCUACGGUGAAUACGUUCCCGGGCCUUGUACUCACCGCC